UUAAUUGAUUAUAUUAUAUUUAUUUUUUGAUAAUUUUAUUAUUUAAUAAAAAUAAUUUUGAAGGGUAUGUGUCUUAGUAUGGUUUAUAGAAUAGAUUAGAUAUAUUAUAGUUUAUUAGUAAUGUAAGUGACUUAUGAAAUAUUUAUUUAUAUUUAUAAAAGUAGAUUUGUUUUAUUGUACCUUUUGUAUCAGGGUUUAUCAAAAUUUUAGUGAUUAUUCACUUAUCUCGAUUUAGGUUGAUUUAUAAUCAACUAAAAGUUAAUGUAUCAUAAUUAUUUUUUAGUAAAUUAUAGAGAUGAAAUGUUAAUCGUUUCCUAAAAUAUCUAGUUUCUUAAGAAAAAAUUUAAUUUUUUAUGGUUAUAUUGUUUUAUCUAAUUUUUUAGUUUAUAAUAUUAACCUAUUUAUUCUUUAGGGGAUAAGCUCUAAAGCUUGACCUAUAAUUUAAUAAUUAUAAGAUGUAAGAGUAGGCUUUAAACCAGCUAUCUUUAAGACUACGUUUUAGUUCAUUAUUAUUUAUUUUGAUUUUAUAAAAUUUUUAGGUUUUCUAUUAAGAUUUUAAAUUUAAUUUUAAAAUUUAAGUAAUAAUGAUAGAAUUAGUAUAUUAAUUUUGUUUAUAAUAAUUGUUUGUGUUAAUUUAUUAUAAGGAACUAGGCAAAAUUGAUUCCCGCCUGUUUAUCAAAAACAUGUCCUCUUGAUAAUAUUUUGAGGUUUGGCCUGCUCACUGACAAGGUUUUAAAGAGCCGCGGUAUUUUGACCGUGCAAAGGUAGCAUAAUCAUUAGUCUCUUAAUUAGAGGCUGGAAUGAAUGGCUUGACGAGGAAUCAACUGUCUCUUAAUAAAUUAUAGAAUUUAACUUUUAAGUUAAAAGGCUUAAAUUUUUCUUUAGGACGAGAAGACCCUAUAGAGCUUAACAUUUUAUUUAUAUAUAGUUUUUAGAUAGUCUUUCUUUAUUUAAUGUGUAUGUUGUGUUGGGGUGAUAUGGAGAAUAAAUAAACUCUUCAUUAUGAAAUCAUUGAUUUAUGUUAUUAUGAUCCAUAAUUUAUGAUCAAAAGAUUAAGUUACCUUAGGGAUAACAGCGUAAUUGUUUUCGAGAGCUCAUAUCGACAAAGCAGAUUGCGACCUCGAUGUUGGAUUAAGAAAAAUUCUAGGUGUAGUAGUCUAGAAAUUAGGUCUGUUCGACCUUUAAAUUCUUACAUGAUCUGAGUUCAGACCGGCGUGAGCCAGGUCGGUUUCUAUCCUAAGAAUAAUUGUUCAUAUUAGUACGAAAGGACCAUAUGAACGAAAAAUUUUUGUAGUUUUUGAUUAAAAUUAAUUAUU
This 1316-nucleotide ribosomal RNA is filed under the name Dericorys annulata. Its description in RNAcentral is "16S ribosomal RNA". The stretch from base 544 to 1316 matches the Rfam family "Archaeal large subunit ribosomal RNA", at positions 1423 to 2807 of the family's 2987-position model. The record is from RNAcentral. Lineage: Eukaryota; Metazoa; Arthropoda; Insecta; Orthoptera; Dericorythidae.